Bactrocera oleae (olive fruit fly) is the source of this 1557-nucleotide non-coding RNA. The record is from RefSeq and is a predicted model, not a curated record. NCBI's taxonomy places the organism in Eukaryota, Metazoa, Arthropoda, Insecta, Diptera, Tephritidae.
UUUUCAUUUAUGGUAAGUGGUUUGGCACUUAUGCUCUACUACUAUAUUUCUUUUUCUUUAUAUUACCCCAUUUUAUUGCUUGCACUUUAAUUUCGUUCUCAUAUUUGCUGGCAUUCGCAGUUGUUCUAGCAAACACAAAGCAAUUGUUUGGUAUUUAUUUCGUCAUUUUAAUGCACUAUAAUUUCUUGUGAUUUGUUGUGGUUAUAGUCGAUGUUGUCUUUUUUGGAUUUUUUGGUGUUUCAAAUUUAACACCAAACGUGCGUGUUCAAAUAAAAACAAGACAUGUUUGAAAAGAAUUACGAAAGUAUAAAUAUAAGAACAGUGUUAAUUUCGAGAACGAAGUAAACGAUCGAGUGCAUGGAGUGCGUGACCACUUAAUGGUUAAAGACCUGUGUGCUACUUGUGAUCAACCCCUAACACGUGUGAUCGUAACAAUAUUAUUUAUUAAAUAAGAUAGCAAAACGCUUUUAGCAAAGGUAAAGAAAUGUAAAACAUCGUUUCUAUAAGAGACCGCCACAAGCAAGCCAUGAAUUACAAUACUUCAAUUGUAAUAAGCUCGAUUUCGUGGCAAAAAUUGACAGCGAAUGAAACAUAGCUCCUUCAUUUCACUCUGGAGUCUAUUUGACAGUCAUCCGAGUGAACUACCCACGAUUAAUCGAUUUCGGAGCAUGGUAAGGCGCAAGUGUCACUUGGCCCAGCUCAAAGUUUCAUCGACACCCUUGUAAAAAUUAAGCGACUGGAAUGUAGUGGAAGUAUUAUUGAAAUGAUUUAAGGACAAAAUUGUAAAGAAACGGCCCAAUUGCAGAGGAAGGUAGUGUUUUCCACCUACUUUUUUAUAUUAGCCUCAAGAGAAUUCUGGCUAAAAAAAAUUUAGUGACAAUGAAAAGCUAGUUACCGAGAAUGAGACCUCUUUUAAAGUGAAUGAAACAAUAUGAGCUUUACAGCUAACAAAAAUUUUGAACGAUGGCAUUUGAAAUGCAAAAAGCGGCCUGAUUGGCAGUCUGUAUAUGAGGGAGUAUAAUCUAUCAAGACUGGAAAAAACUUAUCGCAUGCAAGCGUUAAUGACAAUAUCAUUGAAAAAGAGGCUUAGUAGCGUUGGACAUUUUAUUCGUCGAGAUAUAGAGUGUAAUCACUCGUCAAGUGUUUCAAUAAGACUAAGCUAUACCAUGAGAAUAAGAAGGCUCUUCAGUACAAUACAACAUGCAGAUAGACCAAAUAUGUAUAUAAUAAUCUUUAAGUUACCUUUCCUAUUCAUUUCAUAUCACAUAAUUUUAUUUGUUUGUCCCCUUUUAUUUCUACAAAUACUUAUGACCUCAAUAACAAAACAGGCGUCCUUGAAAAUUUUAACAUUUUUAUUAAGACAGACAAUUUUUUAUCUUUUAUCGAUACUCUAUUCGUGUCGUGCUUAUGAAUAUCAAUAAGAAAUUAUUCAAGUGAAAUGCUUUGCAAUUGUGUCAGCUGCAUACAAAUUUCGCACACAAAUUACACCCGCGAUAAUUAUGUAUGUAAACAAAUAUUUGCAGUGUGAUAAAAAAGUAACAUUGUGAUACACAAGAA